GAUGAACGCUAGCGGCAGGCCUAAUACAUGCAAGUCAAGGGGCUCGCAAGAGCACCGGCGGACGGGUGCGUAACGCGUACACAACGUACCUCAGAGCGGGGGAUAGCAUUGGGAAACUGGUGGUAAAACCCCAUGGUGUUGCUGAAUGGCAUCAUUUAGCAACUAAAGUUUACACUUUGAGAUCGGUGUGCGUCUGAUUAGCUAGUUGGCGGGGUAACGGCCCACCAAGGCGACGAUCAGUAGGGGGUGUGAGAGCAUGACCCCCCCACAUGGGUACUGAGACACGGACCCAACUCCUACGGGAGGCAGCAGUAGGGAAUAUUGGGCAAUGGACGAAAGUCUGACCCAGCCAUGCCGCGUGCGGGACGAAGGCCUUCGGGUUGUAACCGACUUUCAGCCGGAAAGAAAUCGCCGUUUUUAAUACAGACGGUGGAUGACGGUACCGGAAGAAGAAGCACGGCUAACUACGUAGCCAGCACGCCGCGGUAAAGUAGUCGUGU
This 500-nucleotide ribosomal RNA is filed under the name uncultured bacterium. Its description in RNAcentral is "bacterial SSU rRNA". It matches the Rfam family "Bacterial small subunit ribosomal RNA", at positions 28 to 535 of the family's 1533-position model. The record is from RNAcentral.